GUGCUGAUGCUGCUGCCUUGGCAGCAGUUUCCUCUUUGCCCCCUUUGCUUCUGCUUCGACAUUCAGUUUUUUCUCCCCCUGCUCGAAUAGCCUGCAUGGCUGCACGUCUUCCUCCACCUGCUACGAUCUUCAGCAAGUGGUUCCCAGUUGUCGGUAGGUAGACCAAUCGCUAGCAUGUUUCUCUUGCAGACGUCCCCGAAUCGAAGCGUACAGUAGAUCUGCCAACAGGACUCGACCAAGUUUUAGCUCCCCAUGCAAGAUCCCUUGGGGAUUCCCCCAUCAUCCAUUCGGUAAGGAAAACUAUUGUACAAAUUUCCUAAUGUCGUCGACAUUAUAUCCGGAAAC
Molecule: non-coding RNA, 345 nt
Organism: Paramuricea clavata
Lineage: Eukaryota; Metazoa; Cnidaria; Anthozoa; Malacalcyonacea; Plexauridae
Source: the annotation of a GenBank genome assembly